This 505-nucleotide ribosomal RNA is filed under the name uncultured bacterium. RNAcentral describes it as "bacterial SSU rRNA". It matches the Rfam family "Bacterial small subunit ribosomal RNA", at positions 501 to 1008 of the family's 1533-position model. The record is from RNAcentral.
CUACGUGCCAGCAGCCGCGGUAAUACGGAAGGUCCAGGCGUUAUCCGGAUUUAUUGGGUUUAAAGGGAGUGUAGGCGGUUUGUUAAGCGUGUUGUGAAAUUUAGAUGCUCAACAUUUAACUUGCAGCGCGAACUGUCAGACUUGAGUACACGCAACGUAUGCGGAAUUCAUGGUGUAGCGGUGAAAUGCUUAGAUAUCAUGAAGAACUCCGAUUGCGAAGGCAGCAUACGGGAGUGUAACUGACGCUUAAGCUCGAAGGUGCGGGUAUCGAACAGGAUUAGAUACCCUGGUAGUCCGCACAGUAAACGAUGGAUGCCCGCUGUUAGCGCCUAGCGUUAGCGGCUAAGCGAAAGCAUUAAGCAUCCCACCUGGGGAGUACGCCGGCAACGGUGAAACUCAAAGGAAUUGACGGGGGCCCGCACAAGCGGAGGAACAUGUGGUUUAAUUCGAUGAUACGCGAGGAACCUUACCCGGGCUUGAAUUGCAGAGGAAUUAUUUAGAGAUA